Molecule: ribosomal RNA, 492 nt
Filed under: uncultured bacterium
Lineage: Bacteria
Description: partial 16S ribosomal RNA
Rfam family: Bacterial small subunit ribosomal RNA
Source: RNAcentral
AGUGAACGCUGGCGGUAGGCCUAACCCAUGCAAGUCGAACGGCAGCACAGUAAGAGCUUGCUCUUACGGGUUGCGCGUGUCGUACGGGUGAGGAAUACAUCGGCCUCUACUUUUUCGUGGGGGAUAACGUAGGGAAACUUACGCUAAUACCGCAUACGACCUACGGGUUAAAGCAGGGGAUCUUCGGACCUUGCGCGAUUGACUGAGCCGAUGUCGGAUUAGCUAGUUGGCGGGGUAAAGGCCCACCAAGGCGACGAUCCGUAGCUGGUCUGAGAGGAUGAGCAGCCAAACGGGAAAGGAGACACGGUCCAGACUCCGACGGGAGGCAGCAGUGGGGAAUAUUGGACAAUGGGCGCAAGCCUGAUCCAGCCAGACCGCGUGGGUGAAGAAGGCCUUCGGGUUGUAAAGCCCUUUUGGUGGGAAAGAAAAGCAGCAGGUUAAUACCCCGCUGUUCUGACGGUACCCAAAGAAUAAGCACCGGCUAACUUCGUG